AAAAGACUUAGUCCUAACCUUACCGUUAAUUCCUACCAAACAUAUACAUGCAAGCAUCCGCACCCCAGUGCAAACGCCCCCAACAUCUUAACAAGAAAACAGGAGCAGGCAUCAGGCACCCCCCCCCGGCAGCCCAAGACGCCCCGCCCAGCCACACCCCCACGGGUACUCAGCAGUAAUUAACCUUAAGCAAUAAGUGCAAACUUGACUUAGUUAUGGUAAACCCACAGGGCUGGUAAAUCUUGUGCCAGCCACCGCGGUCAUACAAGAAGCCCAAAUUAACACCUCCACGGCGUAAAGAGUGAGCCCAAAAACUAUCUAACAACUGGAACUAAAAUGCGACCAAGCUGUUAUAAGCACAAGACGCACCUAACAACUGCCACCAAAACUGACCCCAGCCACACGACUAACAACAACCCACGAAAGCUAAGACACAAACUGGGAUUAGAUACCCCACUAUGCUUAGCCACAAAUCCAGAUGUUUAACCACCCAAACAUCCGCCCGAGAACUACGAGCACAAACGCUUAAAACUCUAAGGACUUGGCGGUGCCUCAAACCCACCUAGAGGAGCCUGUUCUAUAAUCGAUAACCCACGAUACACCCAACCACCCCUAGCCCAAAUCAGCCUAUAUACCGCCGUCCCCAGCUCGCCCUUACAGUUGAAGGCCCAAACAGCAAGCACAACAGCCCCCCGCUAACAAGACAGGUCGAGGUAUAGCCCAUGGGAUGGAAGCAAUGGGCUACAUUUUCUACCCUAGAAAACCCACGGCAAGAGGUGCGAAACCCCCUCCAAAAGGCGGAUUUAGCAGUAAAGCAGGACAAUAAUGCCUCCUUUAAACCGGCUCUGAGGUACGUACAUACCGCCCGUCACCCUCCUCCCAAGCCACCAACAACUAAUCACUAACUAAUACAUCAACCAUAAGCCAAAGAUGAGGUAAGUCGUAACAAGGUAAGUGUACCGGAAGGUGCACUUAGUCUACC
RNAcentral lists this non-coding RNA (982 nucleotides) under Calyptomena viridis (green broadbill). RNAcentral's name for it is "12S ribosomal RNA". It matches the Rfam family "Bacterial small subunit ribosomal RNA". The record is from RNAcentral. Lineage: Eukaryota; Metazoa; Chordata; Aves; Passeriformes; Eurylaimidae.